This 404-nucleotide ribosomal RNA is filed under the name Azadinium dalianense. RNAcentral describes it as "partial small subunit ribosomal RNA". It matches the Rfam family "Eukaryotic small subunit ribosomal RNA", at positions 30 to 432 of the family's 1831-position model. The record is from RNAcentral. Lineage: Eukaryota; Dinophyceae; Gonyaulacales; Amphidomataceae.
GCUUGUCUCAAAGAUUAAGCCAUGCAUGUGUUAGUAUAAACGCCUUUAUACUGUGAAACUGCGAACGGCUCAUUAUAUCAGUUAUAGUUUAUUUGAUACUUUUCGACUAUUGGAUAACCGUAGUAAUUCUAGAGCUAAUACAUGCACCCGUGCCCGACUUUGUGGAAGGGUUGUGUUUAUUAGUUACAGAACCAGCCCAGGCUCUGCCUGGUCUUGUGGUGAUUCAUAAUAACCGAACGAAUCGUAUGGCAUCAGCUGGCGAUGAAUCAUUCAAGUUUCUGACCUAUCAGCUUCCGACGGUAGGGUAUUGGCCUACCGUGGCAAUGACGGGUAACGGAGAAUUAGGGUUCGAUUCCGGAGAGGGAGCCUGAGAAACGGCUACCACAUCUAAGGAAGGCAGCAGG